AUACCGCAUACGUCCUACGGGAGAAAGCAGGGGACCUUCGGGCCUUGCGCUAUCAGAUGAGCCUAGGUCGGAUUAGCUAGUUGGUGAGGUAAUGGCUCACCAAGGCGACGAUCCGUAACUGGUCUGAGAGGAUGAUCAGUCACACUGGAAGGUGAGACACGGUCCAGACCCGUACGGGAGGCAGCAGUGGGGAAUAUUGGACAAUGGGCGAAAGCCUGAUCCAAAAGUGCCGCGUGUGUGAAGAAGGUCUUCGGA
Molecule: ribosomal RNA, 255 nt
Filed under: uncultured bacterium
Lineage: Bacteria
Description: partial 16S ribosomal RNA
Rfam family: Bacterial small subunit ribosomal RNA
Source: RNAcentral